RNAcentral lists this ribosomal RNA (505 nucleotides) under Uperodon palmatus. Its description in RNAcentral is "partial small subunit ribosomal RNA". It matches the Rfam family "Bacterial large subunit ribosomal RNA", at positions 1920 to 2591 of the family's 2925-position model. The record is from RNAcentral. Lineage: Eukaryota; Metazoa; Chordata; Amphibia; Anura; Microhylidae.
AAGUUAAACGGCCGCGGUACCCUAACCGUGCGAAGGUAGCGCAAUCACUUGUUCUUUAAAUAAGGACUAGUAUGAACGGCAUCACGAAGGUUAUACUGUCUCCUUCCUCCAAUCAGUGAAACUGACCCCCCCGUGAAGAGGCGGGAAUAAAACUAUAAGACGAGAAGACCCCAUGGAGCUUAAAACUCAGCAUCAAUUGCCACACAAACACACCAUUUUAACCAAGCAAGCCUGACAGCUGGUUUUCGGUUGGGGUGACCACGGAGCAAAACAAAACCUCCACGAUGAAAGGGACCUCCCUAAUCAAAGAGCUACAACUCAAAGAAUCAAUAAAUUGACAUAAAUUGAUCCAAUUAAUUUUGAUCAACGAACCAAGUUACCCUGGGGAUAACAGCGCAAUCCACUUCAAGAGCUCAUAUCGACAAGUGGGUUUACGACCUCGAUGUUGGAUCAGGGUAUCCCAGUGGUGCAGCCGCUACUAAAGGUUCGUUUGUUCAACGAUUAA